AAUGAGCGAAUAUAACAAUAAAAAUACUUUACUCAAAUGAAGAAAUCCUUUUUGAAUAUUCUCAAGGUGGAUGAACGCUUGAAUGAAUGCUUGAGAAGAGGAUGAUUGUUGAUUGAAGAUCUCUUGAAGGCUUUGAAAGAUCUCUAGAUCAAGGUUGAAACAAUAGGCGUGACAAAUCCUCUCUUUGAAUGCUCUUGAAUCUCUUUCACAAUCUCUCGUGUGGAUUUUGGAUCCUCUUUUCUUUUUCUCUCGAAUCACUUCAUGUAUAUUUUGGAUCCUCUCUAUUGUAUUUUUGAUCUCACGUUUGAU
This 309-nucleotide long non-coding RNA is filed under the name Elaeis guineensis (African oil palm). RNAcentral's name for it is "long non-coding RNA (EGUI_LNC059461)". The record is from RNAcentral. Lineage: Eukaryota; Viridiplantae; Streptophyta; Magnoliopsida; Arecales; Arecaceae.